GUGUCAGCAGCCGCGGUAAUACGUAGGGGCCAAGCGUUGUCAGGAUUUAUUGGGCGUAAAGAGCUCGCAGGCGGUUGGGUAAGUCGGGUGUGAAAACUCCAGGCUCAACUUGGAGAUGCCACCCGAUACUGCUCUGACUUGAGUUCGGUAGGGGAGUGGGGAAUUCCUGGUGUAGCGGUGAAAUGCGCAGAUAUCAGGAGGAACACCGGUGGCGAAGGCGCCACUCUGGGCCGAAACUGACGCUGAGGAGCGAAAGCGUGGGGAGCAAACAGGAUUAGAAACCCCCGUAGUCC
RNAcentral lists this ribosomal RNA (293 nucleotides) under uncultured bacterium. RNAcentral's name for it is "partial 16S ribosomal RNA". It matches the Rfam family "Bacterial small subunit ribosomal RNA", at positions 505 to 796 of the family's 1533-position model. The record is from RNAcentral.